UUUUAGGGAAUAUACGCAUUGGGACCUUUAUAUCUUUCAACACCAUGUAGAACACUUCUUUUUCUUUCUUCCACAUUGCAAAAAUAGAAGGCAGCAACUGAGAUUUUCCAUUUGAAAGUAAUUGGGGAUGAAGAUUGUAAUAACCCAAAUUUGCCCGGCCCAAAUUAGAAAUAAAUAAAUAAACAAAAAUAUAAAUAAAAACAAAAAUUAUUAAAAGUCUAUCAGUCCAUAUUACAAACCGAAAAUGCAUUAGACCCACUAAGCCCCAAUAUCACAACCCAAUUAUUAACCCAACUACCCAAUUACAGACCAAAAUAGCUAAACCCAAACCCACUAAGAC
RNAcentral lists this long non-coding RNA (340 nucleotides) under Gossypium raimondii (Peruvian cotton). Its description in RNAcentral is "long non-coding RNA (GRAI_LNC009549)". Lineage: Eukaryota; Viridiplantae; Streptophyta; Magnoliopsida; Malvales; Malvaceae. The record is from RNAcentral.